Zalophus californianus (California sea lion) is the source of this 104-nucleotide small nuclear RNA. The record is from Ensembl. Lineage: Eukaryota; Metazoa; Chordata; Mammalia; Carnivora; Otariidae.
GUGCUUGCUUCAGCAGCACAUACACUAACAUUGGAACGAUACAGAGAUCAGUAUGGCCCCUGCGCAAGGAUGACACGCAAAUCCGCAAAGCAUCCCACAUUUUA